AUACGGAGGGUGCAAGCGUUAUUCGGAAUCACUGGGCGUAAAGGACGCGUAGGCGGGAAAGCAAGUCUGAUGUGAAAUCCUAUGGCUCAACCAUAGAACUGCAUUGGAAACUGCUUACCUAGAGUAUGGGAGGGGGAGAUGGAAUUAGUGGUGUAGGGGUAAAAUCCGUAGAUAUCACUAGGAAUACCGAAAGCGAAGGCGAUCUCCUGGAACAAUACUGACGCUAAGGCGUGAAAGCGUGGGAGCAAACGGGAUUAGAAACCCUUGUAGUCC
Molecule: ribosomal RNA, 273 nt
Filed under: uncultured bacterium
Lineage: Bacteria
Description: partial 16S ribosomal RNA
Rfam family: Bacterial small subunit ribosomal RNA
Source: RNAcentral